RNAcentral lists this small RNA (453 nucleotides) under Histoplasma capsulatum. Its description in RNAcentral is "hypothetical RNA". Lineage: Eukaryota; Fungi; Ascomycota; Eurotiomycetes; Onygenales; Ajellomycetaceae. The record is from RNAcentral. RNAcentral also lists the same sequence under 1 other name.
CCAUGAUUGUGUAGUCCCGAAUGAUUCCUCUGUGUAACCCUUAACAUUCUUCCACCCCGCGCCCCGCGGUUGCGUGACCUCCAAUAUUCUUCUGUUCCAAUUCCUUCUCUAUAAGAACCCCUUUGUAUGAUCUUUUCUUCUGAUCUCUUUUCUCUUUCUUUCCUCAAUCAAUUUGUAAUCUGUAUUAGGAUAGUGCUUAGUCGGUCAAUCGGUAGUACACCCGUUACAUUGAUAGAAAAUGGGAGAAUAGUUCAAGGUAAAUGAGUCUAAUUUAAUCUCAACUAUGUGUUGAACUACUUUGGAACUAGUGUAUAUUGAUCAGAAGUCACAAAAGUUUCAAACUUUUUGCAUAGCACUGUAGUAGAAAGGGAUGAACAAUAGUAAUAUUAGUAGAUAGUAUAGUAAAUAGUAGUUAAUUACUAUAAGAGAAGGAAGAGAAGAAAAGAAAGAAGA